CCUACGGGAGGCAGCAGUGAGGAAUAUUGGUCAAUGGACGCAAGUCUGAACCAGCCAUGCCGCGUGCAGGAAGACGGCUCUAUGAGUUGUAAACUGCUUUUGUACGAGGGUAAACGCAGAUACGCGUAUCUGUCUGAAAGUAUCGUACGAAUAAGGAUCGGCUAACUCCGUGCCAGCAGCCGCGGUAAUACGGAGGAUUCAAGCGUUAUCCGGAUUUAAUGGGUUUAAAGGGUGCGUAGGCGGUCGGAUAAGUUAGAGGUGAAAUCCCGAGGCUCAACUUCGGAAUUGCCUCUGAUACUGGUCGGCUAGAGAGUAGUUGAGGUAGGCGGAAUGUAUGGUGUAGCGGUGAAAUGCUUAGAGAUCAUACAGAACACCGAUUGCGAAGGCAGCUUACCAAGCUACUUCUGACGUUGAGGCACGAAAGCGUGGGGAGCAAACAGGAUUAGAUACCCUUGUAGUC
This 460-nucleotide ribosomal RNA is filed under the name uncultured bacterium. RNAcentral's name for it is "partial 16S ribosomal RNA". It matches the Rfam family "Bacterial small subunit ribosomal RNA", at positions 338 to 795 of the family's 1533-position model. The record is from RNAcentral.